RNAcentral lists this ribosomal RNA (960 nucleotides) under Vibrio owensii. RNAcentral describes it as "bacterial SSU rRNA". It matches the Rfam family "Bacterial small subunit ribosomal RNA", at positions 63 to 1016 of the family's 1533-position model. Lineage: Bacteria; Pseudomonadati; Pseudomonadota; Gammaproteobacteria; Vibrionales; Vibrionaceae. The record is from RNAcentral.
UUAUCUGAACCUUCGGGGGACGAUAACGGCGUCGAGCGGCGGACGGGUGAGUAAUGCCUAGGAAAUUGCCCUGAUGUGGGGGAUAACCAUUGGAAACGAUGGCUAAUACCGCAUAAUGCCUACGGGCCAAAGAGGGGGACCUUCGGGCCUCUCGCGUCAGGAUAUGCCUAGGUGGGAUUAGCUAGUUGGUGAGGUAAUGGCUCACCAAGGCGACGAUCCCUAGCUGGUCUGAGAGGAUGAUCAGCCACACUGGAACUGAGACACGGUCCAGACUCCUACGGGAGGCAGCAGUGGGGAAUAUUGCACAAUGGGCGCAAGCCUGAUGCAGCCAUGCCGCGUGUGUGAAGAAGGCCUUCGGGUUGUAAAGCACUUUCAGUCGUGAGGAAGGUGGUGUAGUUAAUAGCUGCAUUAUUUGACGUUAGCGACAGAAGAAGCACCGGCUAACUCCGUGCCAGCAGCCGCGGUAAUACGGAGGGUGCGAGCGUUAAUCGGAAUUACUGGGCGUAAAGCGCAUGCAGGUGGUUUGUUAAGUCAGAUGUGAAAGCCCGGGGCUCAACCUCGGAAUAGCAUUUGAAACUGGCAGACUAGAGUACUGUAGAGGGGGGUAGAAUUUCAGGUGUAGCGGUGAAAUGCGUAGAGAUCUGAAGGAAUACCGGUGGCGAAGGCGGCCCCCUGGACAGAUACUGACACUCAGAUGCGAAAGCGUGGGGAGCAAACAGGAUUAGAUACCCUGGUAGUCCACGCCGUAAACGAUGUCUACUUGGAGGUUGUGGCCUUGAGCCGUGGCUUUCGGAGCUAACGCGUUAAGUAGACCGCCUGGGGAGUACGGUCGCAAGAUUAAAACUCAAAUGAAUUGACGGGGGCCCGCACAAGCGGUGGAGCAUGUGGUUUAAUUCGAUGCAACGCGAAGAACCUUACCUACUCUUGACAUCCAGAGAACUUUCCAGAGAUGGAUUGGUG